UACAGAGGUGGCAAGCGUUGUUCGGAAUUACUGGGCGUAAAGGGCGCGUAGGCGGCCUUCUAAGUCAGACGUGAAAUCCCCCGGCUUAACCUGGGAACUGCGUCUGAUACUGGAUGGCUUGAGUUUGGGAGAGGGAUGCGGAAUUCCAGGUGUAGCGGUGAAAUGCGUAGAUAUCUGGAGGAACACCGGUGGCGAAGGCGGCAUCCUGGACCAACACUGACGCUGAGUGAGCGAAAGCCAGGGGAGCAAACGGGG
RNAcentral lists this ribosomal RNA (255 nucleotides) under uncultured bacterium. RNAcentral's name for it is "partial 16S ribosomal RNA". It matches the Rfam family "Bacterial small subunit ribosomal RNA", at positions 524 to 777 of the family's 1533-position model. The record is from RNAcentral.